Molecule: ribosomal RNA, 403 nt
Filed under: uncultured bacterium
Lineage: Bacteria
Description: partial 16S ribosomal RNA
Rfam family: Bacterial small subunit ribosomal RNA
Source: RNAcentral
GACGAACGCUGGCGGCGUGCCUAAUACAUGCAAGUCGAACGCAGUGGGGACGGGUUGGUAACACGUGGGUAACCUCCCAUCAGAGGGGAUAACACUUGGAAACAGGUGCUAAUCCGAUACUGAUGGAUGGACCCUCGGUGCAUUAGCUAGUUGGUGAGGUAACGGCUCACCAAGGCCACGAUGACUAGACGACCUGAGAGGGUGAUCGGCCACACUUGGACUGAGAAACGGCCCAGACUCCUACGGGAGGCAGCAGUAGGGAAUCUUCGGCAAUGGACGAAAGUCUGACCGAGCAACGCCGCGUGAGUGAAGAAGGUUUUCGGAUCGUAAAACUCUGUUGUUAGAGAAGCGGUAUCUAACCAGAAAGCCACGGCUAACUACGUGCCAGCCGCCGCGGUAAUAC